GCAUUGGUGGUUCAGUGGUAGGAUUCUCGGCUCCCACGCGGGAGACCUGGGUUCGAUUCCUGGCCAAUGCA
Molecule: non-coding RNA, 71 nt
Organism: Tachyglossus aculeatus (Australian echidna)
Lineage: Eukaryota; Metazoa; Chordata; Mammalia; Monotremata; Tachyglossidae
Source: the annotation of a RefSeq genome assembly